Non-coding RNA from Malus domestica (apple), 1678 nucleotides. The record is from RefSeq and is a predicted model, not a curated record. Lineage: Eukaryota; Viridiplantae; Streptophyta; Magnoliopsida; Rosales; Rosaceae.
GAAAUUGCCGUCUCCAUGUAUGACCCACGUUCUGAAAAGGAGAUUGGAAUGUUUAAUUUCAACCUUUACAGAUUUGCUUCUCCAUCCACCCCAAACAUUCACCCAUCGGUAGUUCAGCACCGUAAUCCUCUGCCUCUACCACAAAAACUCCAUUUUUGCUUUUGCUUCAUUGUAACAGAUGUUCUUUUGGUGAGUUGUUUUCUACAACUCCAAAAGGCUCUUCUGCCUUAAUUAGUCAAUUUUCCCACACAAAUUAACAAAUCGCAUGUCAAGAAAAUCAUGAAUCCAGAAAAACAUUGCAUGUAUCAUCAAAUCUCUCACCUUCUUUUCCUUUUUUUGGGGUAUGAUCUUAAAUUCGGAUGUAUUUCCAAAUAUUUGUUUUUUUACUUUUCAACGGAGGAGUCUAACCCCACUUCUAACAUACAAGGGACUUGGAGAAGCAGUUGAUGUUGAUCCACCACAAAGACGUACACAUGCCUCUAAAUAAACAGCCCAGACUGGCUUACGCCGACGACGAUUGUGCUGACGACAGAGAUUUAGCCGGCAAAGGUGGUCAGGCUUCCAAGGAAAUCAGACAUAGGCUAUACCAUGUUUAAAAUUCAUGGAAACACAAUUACAUUGCAUCCAUGCCUAUUUCUUGCGAGAAGAUUGACAUAGUUUAAUUAGAUUAAGACUGACAUAGUUUGCUUAACCAGAUUUGAAAAAACCCACACGUUACUGAUGUAAGAUGUACGUCAGUUAUGUUUUUAUUUAUGAAUUCCUUUCUAAAUGCUAGGCAAAUGAGGAGAUUUGGUAAAUGUCAAAUGCCUGUGACAGUUCUUGUUUUAUUUGUCUCUCAGAAAAAACAAUCCAACAAGGAACACUGCCCAAAGAUUGAAGGGAGGAAUUUGUUAACUGUUGUUGAUCUUAAUUUUACCUUCACACUCCAUCUCAUCUUUCUCUUUUUUCAGUAUCUAAUUGGGUAAUGUUCAAACCUUUUGCACAAAUUUUUCAGUUCUAAUAGGUAAUUCUUCACUUUUAUGUCUUUCAAACAUUCUAAUUUUUCUUAUGACCAUAGCCCCUAAUUAUUGUUAAAAAAAUGUUUGAAGAAGCAUGGUUUUGCAAUUUAUGACUCCGGCUACGAGGAAGAUUUUUCACAGUGGUCAGGAUGUUUCAGGCUUUACAACAUUUCAAGCACACUCCUAAAGUCGGGAAUUCUCCCUCUCCGUGUCUCCUUUCUCUUGAAUGUUUGAUUGGUAUUUUAUUUUUAUAAGGUGUCCAAUCAAUUGCUACAAAUACAUGGAGAGGGAAGCAGAUAGAGAGAGGUCAGAAAUAUUCUUGCAGGCAAUCAAUUGUGGUAUGAGAAAGAAAACAACUAACACAACACAUCUUAAGAGGAGCGUAGCAUCCGUGAUUAAAGAAAAUGCCUAUCACAUGCGGAUCUUUUUCCAGCUAAUUAUAGUAUACAAAGAAGUCUUGCUUCAUUCCAGCUAAUUAUGGUGAUUCCUAAUAGAUUGGCAAUGAAAAUUUGAAGCAUCAAUCAGGAACAAAUGGGUGGAAAUUGCAGCAUUGAUGUCAAUAUGUAAACUUUCUUUUCAAAAGAAAUAGUGCAAUAUAGACUUUAUGGGUAUUGUGAAUAAUGUACAUAUUGUGAUGUAGGUUUUAUAUUUUGACAUUUAAGUUGUUUUGUGUUUUUCUA